GGCUGUAUGGUAUAGCGGAAUGCGUGACCUUGUGUCUCGGAGAUUUGGGGUUCGAUUCCCCGUACGGGCA
Lasiosphaeria ovina is the source of this 70-nucleotide non-coding RNA. Lineage: Eukaryota; Fungi; Ascomycota; Sordariomycetes; Sordariales; Lasiosphaeriaceae. The record is from the annotation of a GenBank genome assembly.